This 146-nucleotide long non-coding RNA is filed under the name Limulus polyphemus (Atlantic horseshoe crab). Its description in RNAcentral is "uncharacterized LOC106472391, transcript variant X1". The record is from RNAcentral. Lineage: Eukaryota; Metazoa; Arthropoda; Merostomata; Xiphosura; Limulidae.
UCAAGGUAUUGUUUUAGAAAAAGUGGGUGUUGAAGCUAAACAGCCAAACUCUGCUAUUAGAAAAUGUGUGCGAGUCCAGUUGAUCAAAAAUGGAAAGAAAAUCACAGCUUUUGUGCCAAAUGAUGGUUGUCUAAACUACAUUGAGG